RNAcentral lists this long non-coding RNA (554 nucleotides) under Pongo abelii (Sumatran orangutan). RNAcentral's name for it is "lincRNA". The record is from RNAcentral. Lineage: Eukaryota; Metazoa; Chordata; Mammalia; Primates; Hominidae.
GGCGCAGUGAGCAUUGAGCCACGGAAACUCAACUUUGCCAUGUCCCACAGGCAAGCAUGAAUCAGGAUGACAGUCAAUGCCACAAAAUCCAAAGCCAUGUGGGUGCUUCUUUGACUAGAGACAGCAAGGGCAGGAGUGAAGCUCAGGCUUCUGCACCAACCCAGCAUCUGCACCAACCCAGACACCAACUGAUGUCUCCAUCAGUCAUUUCUAAGCACUGCAGCUCUCUGCCCCUCUGUGCCCCUCCAAGGAGGACCACAAGGACCAUAUUCCAUGGAGUCAUAGCUAUAGGAUAAUAGGAAGUUUAUAUGCCAUUGAAGAGGCAGAGAGGAGCUGCAGCAUGUAUUCACAACUCAGAACUUGUCCUGUGAAGGAAGAAAACAAUGCCCCUUAGACCAAAGAAUUAAGAGAUGACCUAUAUUUGAAAAACCACCCACAGCUGCAUGUUGAUGUGCUAGAGUGGCUUGUUGAUGCUGCCUGAAGUUGAGGUUCUGGCUGCACCAGUUAUUUACCCUUUGAUUAAAAAGACACUUUAAUUCUGAUUGAAAAUCACC